RNAcentral lists this ribosomal RNA (609 nucleotides) under uncultured bacterium. Its description in RNAcentral is "bacterial SSU rRNA". It matches the Rfam family "Bacterial small subunit ribosomal RNA", at positions 338 to 951 of the family's 1533-position model. The record is from RNAcentral.
CCUACGGGAGGCAGCAGUAAGGAAUAUUGGUCAAUGGACGAAAGUCUGAACCAGCCAUGCCGCGUGAAGGAUUAAGGCCCUCUGGGUUGUAAACUUCUUUUAUCUGGGACGAAAAAAGGGUAUUCUUACUCACUUGACGGUACCAGAGGAAUAAGCACCGGCUAACUCCGUGCCAGCAGCCGCGGUAAUACGGAGGGUGCAAGCGUUAUCCGGAUUUACUGGGUUUAAAGGGUGCGUAGGUGGGCUUGUAAGUCAGUGGUGAAAUCUCCGGGCUUAACCCGGAAACUGCCAUUGAUACUAUAGGUCUUGAAUUAUCUGGAGGUAAGCGGAAUAUGUCAUGUAGCGGUGAAAUGCUUAGAUAUGACAUAGAACACCAAUUGCGAAGGCAGCUUACUACGGAUAUAUUGACACUGAGGCACGAAAGCGUGGGGAUCAAACAGGAUUAGAUACCCUGGUAGUCCACGCCCUAAACGAUGGAUACUCGACAUCAGCGAUACACUGUUGGUGUCUGAGCGAAAGCAUUAAGUAUCCACCUGGAAGUACGAUCGCAAGAUUGAAACUCAAAUGAAAUUGACGGCUGAGACGAGCGAGACGACACGAGGGAGGAGG